GCCGGGAUAGCUCAGCUGGGAGAGCAGCAGACUGAAGUCUUGUACGUCUUCUGAAGGUCGCGUGUUCAAUCCACGCUCCUGGCA
Molecule: non-coding RNA, 84 nt
Organism: Trametes elegans
Lineage: Eukaryota; Fungi; Basidiomycota; Agaricomycetes; Polyporales; Polyporaceae
Source: the annotation of a GenBank genome assembly